RNAcentral lists this ribosomal RNA (254 nucleotides) under uncultured bacterium. RNAcentral describes it as "partial 16S ribosomal RNA". It matches the Rfam family "Bacterial small subunit ribosomal RNA", at positions 524 to 776 of the family's 1533-position model. The record is from RNAcentral.
UACGUAGGAGGCGAGCGUUGUCCGGAGUUACUGGGCGUAAAGGGUGCGCAGGCGGUGGUGCGCGUGGAUAGAUGAAAUCUCCUGGCUUACCUGGGAGGGUGGUAUCCAGACGGCAUCACUUGAGGGUCGGAGAGGGGCGUGGAAUUCCGGGUGUAGUGGUGGAAUGCGUAGAGAUCCGGAGGAACACCAGCGGCGAAGGCGGCGUCCUGGACUGGGCCUGACGCUCAGGAGCGAAAGCGUGGGGAGCGAUCCGG